UCCCUGGGCAGCUCUCGGCUGUGCUUCCUUUUGUAGUCUGUAAUGGUUUGCAGGCCCUGUCCCGGACUAGUCUUAAUCUGUGUCCAAGAAACCUGCACCUAAUAAUACAAAUCUACUAGCUACGCGUGUAUGCUAAUGUUGUACACCUGUCUUCUCAUUUUCUCUCAGUUCUCUCACCACCUCCAGAGUCCCUCAAAGGAGAUGAGGACUCACAGAACUCUAAUGUCGUAGGCUGGUUCGUGACGGGCCUCGGCCUCAAGAUGCCACAGCCUGUCGCGAGAUCCAGAGAUGAUGUUGAAGUUGUGCCGAAUGGGGGGGUGGGAGCGCUGAGAGACCCUUAAACAAAAGGAGAAAGAAGACUGAGGAACCGUGAGAGAGACUGAGAACAAAGAGAUAGAGGCAGAAAGACAGACUUACCGACAUAGAUGAUUUUGGACAUUUAUACAGCUCCACUGAGCAACCUGGCAGCUGUGAGACAUCGCUUAUUUUUUUUUUACUUACCUUACUCUUUAUGGAAUGCAGAUAUUUUUGUUUGAUUUUAAUUGUGUAUAGUCAAUGUAUAACAGUUCAUUAAAAUGAACUGUUUGUCAGUUAAUGUCAGUUGUUCAAAUCUUGUCGAUAUGUAGCAAGAAAUGGGUCUUGUCUUCAUUGUAGUAAUCUUUGAAGUAAUUUGGAUUCAUUAAGAGAUUAAGUAUAUUAGAAAAUACWUACAGACACAUAGAGCUAUCAGGCAACAUUGUGUCUCAUAGUUUUUGUACAUUAAAUAUACCACAUUAAACUACUUUUUUGAAGGUAAAGAUUAUUGCUGCACUAAAAAGCUAACACAAAAACGACUUAAUCCUAUUGUACAUGUUUUCCCUUGUGACCUAUUCUCAUCGCCUUGAACUAUGAAUGUGGCCUAAGGUUGUAAUUAUGUUUAUUUUGAUCUGACAGAGUCAAACAGAGUCACGGCAGUCAAGUUAUUAUAAAUAAGUUGAUAAAUUAUGACAUCAUGCCUAAAAAGUAUGCCUGACAUUAUAAUAACGUGUUGUAAAAUAUUAUAAAAAUAAUAAAGAUAUCAUCUGAAAUAUUUUGUCGUGUUAAGAGAUGAUGAUAUUAAAUU
Non-coding RNA from Salvelinus sp. IW2-2015, 1102 nucleotides. Lineage: Eukaryota; Metazoa; Chordata; Actinopteri; Salmoniformes; Salmonidae. The record is from RefSeq and is a predicted model, not a curated record.